UCGAAUUCGUUAUGUGCCAUAUACUAACAUGUGAGUCCCUUCCAAUAUUGUCGCGCGCAGGCACAAGUAAAACAACAAAGAUAUUCAAAUUUUGUCUUUACUCGACAUCUCAAACUUCAUUUACUGGAGCAUAUACCAUUUAUAACAUCAUACCUUCAUGGGGGACUUCAGCGCAAUCUCAAGUGAAAUGAUACCAAACUAAGUAUUCAAACAAAAUAGUAGAGUAAACAAACUCGAAGAAUAAGUAGUAACAAAAUAACUAACCAGAACAAGUUAAAUAUUCCAAACGAAGCAGACUAAUUAUAAAUUCAAGCACUUAGAUAUAAUCUAGAAUACAUUCGAUCUUCUACAGUCGUGACACUUCCUGAAAGUGCUGGCAGAUGACAUCCUCGAUCAACAGGACCAAGCUUCACCGGUAACCUCAGCGUAAUUGCGACAGGACCUCGAAACUGGCCAGAUCUCCCGUGUAAUAAUAUCUAGUUGUGGUGGGAAUGUUCGCUGAUUUCAGUUGUUAAACGAAGAGGAAUCAGUGCUAGAAGGGUGAUCGUUUGUUCUCUACUAUGCUUGCUUCUUCCACCGAUUUCAAGGGGUUCAAAAGGUGGGUCAAGAGGAGGGAGCUUCAGGCGGGGUCGUCUCCAUUGCUGUAUAUGCUCAUGGUCGAUAAAAGAGCAGGGGUCGUUUGGAGGAGACGAGACAGGGGCGGGCGCCGAUGGGAAGGGCUUUGAUGGGUUCUUCAGCGAGGAAUGAUCUUCAGGGAUCCUUUCUCGCAAAAGCUACGCAACCUUUUCGAUUUCCAGGCGUGUCUCCGCAUAGAUUGUGUGUACAGUAUGUAUUUUCUGUGUAUGUGUGUUGUUUCAAGAGAAUAGCAAGGCUGCACCCCUUUAAUUUCCAACGCUCUCUACUGUCUUCUCUAUCGUGUGUAUAUGUGUGUUUAGGUUAGGAAAUUGAUUUGGGUCUUGGGUUGGAUUGGGUCGACCCAGUUUGGGUUGGGUAGGGGCUAAUUUAAGUUGGG
Molecule: long non-coding RNA, 1012 nt
Filed under: Nicotiana benthamiana
Lineage: Eukaryota; Viridiplantae; Streptophyta; Magnoliopsida; Solanales; Solanaceae
Description: long non-coding RNA (NBEN_LNC031401)
Source: RNAcentral